Molecule: unclassified non-coding RNA, 331 nt
Filed under: soil metagenome
Description: partial contains 5.8S ribosomal RNA, internal transcribed spacer 2, and large subunit ribosomal RNA
Rfam family: 5.8S ribosomal RNA (bases 1-120)
Source: RNAcentral
GAUGAAGAACGUAGCGAAAUGCGAUAAGUAGUGUGAAUUGCAGAAUUCAGUGAAUCAUCGAAUCUUUGAACGCACAUUGCGCCCUUCGGUAUUCCGUUGGGCAUGCCUGUUCGAGCGUCAUUUAAACCUUCAAGCUAUGCUUGGUGUUGGGUGUUUGUUCCGCCUCUGCGCGUGGACUCGCCUCAAAUUCAUUGGCAGCCGGUAUGUUGGCUUCGUGCGCAGCACAUUGCAAGCGAUUUCAACAGUCCUCCUUCCAUAAGCCCUUUUUUUACUUUGACCUCGGAUCAGGUAGGGAUACCCGCUGAACUUAAGCAUAUCAAUAAGCGGAGGA